AUGCCCACCAACGCUGCUAUAUCACACCUCAUCCCCCUAUGCCUUGGCCAUCUUUCUGCAUUCAUCAAACACCCAGACGCCAUGAUUUCUGCCCUCACACUUGUCUCCUUCCAGUCUCCCUCUCUCAACCCUAAACAGCGCCUCUUGUCCCGGCGACACAAGAUAAGCGCCAAGUGGGGGAAGAGCCAACAAUGUUCGCCAAAGCCCAUACGAUCAAUACCAGGGCCAAAAGCAACCAGCUGUGGUCUCAACAAAGCUUUCCAUGGAGAUGGAGUUAAUGCCUUACCAUCUUCCCCCCUGACAGAUGUGAUUCACGAGUUGUACUCCUCCCUCAAUGACAAGGACAUCGCACGGCUCAUGGAGCUGAUUGACCCUGACUGCACCGUCGAGCACACUUCCUAUUACAAACCACUCAACUUCAAGGUUAUUCUCUCAUCUGCUCCAAUAUCUCUGCAACACCACCGUACUUCUCUAUCCCGACAAGUGAACAGCAAGAAAGAGGUGGCUGAAGAAGUGAAUCGCGCAUCUAUAACAAAUAAACUACAGAAAUUUUCAAAAAGUACUGCACAACCUGCUCUGGCAUACUGCACGGCUGGGCUCGUCCGACAUGUGACCAUCGAUGGCCGUCAGAUUGUAGCCUGCGCGCCUGCAAUUUUCAAAGAAAAAGCAAUGAACUGCACAAAAGAAGCCCUGAACCGAAAACUAUGCAAAACACUUUCAAACAGAACCGCGAACACCUGGCCGGAGGAGCUGCAACAGAGAGCCAGCCGAGCUGCACUAUAG
RNAcentral lists this ribosomal RNA (783 nucleotides) under Triticum aestivum (bread wheat). Its description in RNAcentral is "partial small subunit ribosomal RNA". Lineage: Eukaryota; Viridiplantae; Streptophyta; Magnoliopsida; Poales; Poaceae. The record is from RNAcentral.